CCUCGUCGAUCUGCUGCGGGCAGAUGAAGUGGAUGUGGGCGUCCAUGCCGCCGGCCGUCAGGAUCUUGCCUUCGCCGGCGAUCGCCUCGGUGCCCGGGCCGAUGACGAUGUCGACGCCCGGCUGCACAUCCGGAUUGCCGGCCUUGCCGAUCGCCACGAUCCGCCCGUCCUUGAGGCCGACAUCGGCCUUGACGAUGCCCCAUGUGUCGAUGAUCAGCGCAUUGGUGAUCACGGUGUCGACGGCGCCCUCGGCGCGGGUGCGCUGCGACUGGCCCAUGCCGUCACGGA
Molecule: small RNA, 288 nt
Filed under: Prosthecomicrobium pneumaticum
Lineage: Bacteria; Pseudomonadati; Pseudomonadota; Alphaproteobacteria; Hyphomicrobiales; Kaistiaceae
Description: 5' ureB small RNA
Rfam family: 5' ureB small RNA
Source: Rfam by way of RNAcentral